RNAcentral lists this ribosomal RNA (474 nucleotides) under uncultured bacterium. RNAcentral describes it as "bacterial SSU rRNA". It matches the Rfam family "Bacterial small subunit ribosomal RNA", at positions 29 to 526 of the family's 1533-position model. The record is from RNAcentral.
AACGAACGCUGGCGGCAGGCUUAACACAUGCAAGUCGAACGCCCCGCAAGGGGAGUGGCGCACGGGUGAGUAACGCGUGGGAAUAUGCCCUUCGGUUCGGAAUAACACAGGGAAACUUGUGCUAAUACCGGAUACGAUCUACGGAUGAAAGAUUUAUCGCCGAGGGAGUAGCCCGCGUAGGAUUAGCUAGUUGGUGAGGUAAUGGCUCACCAAGGCGACGAUCCUUAGCUGGUCUGAGAGGAUGAUCAGCCACACUGGGACUGAGACACGGCCCAGACUCCUACGGGAGGCAGCAGUGGGGAUAUUGGACAAUGGGCGAAAGCCUGAUCCAGCCAUGCCGCGUGAGUGAUGAAGGCCUUAGGGUUGUAAAGCUCUUUCGCCAGGGGAGAAUAAGCAUCGGUAUAAUACGCCGGUGCCCUGACGGUACCCUGCAAGAAGCACCGGCUAACUCCGUGCCAGCAGCCGCGGUAAUCU